Molecule: ribosomal RNA, 301 nt
Filed under: uncultured bacterium
Lineage: Bacteria
Description: partial 16S ribosomal RNA
Rfam family: Bacterial small subunit ribosomal RNA
Source: RNAcentral
CAGUAGCCGCGGUAACACGGAGGGUGCAAGCGUUAAUCGGAAUUACUGGGCGUAAAGAGUGCGUAGGUGGUUAGAUAAGUUAUGUGUGAAAUCCCUGGGCUUAACCUGGGCAGGUCUUAUAAUACUGUUUGACUCGAGUAUGGGAGAGGGUAGUGGAAUUUCCGGUGUAGCGGUGAAAUGCGUAGAGAUCGGAAGGAACACCAGUGGCGAAGGCGGCUACCUGGCCUAAUACUGACACUGAGGCACGAAAGCGUGGGGAGCAAACAGGAUUAGAUACCCCCGUAGUCCCUGUCUCUUAUAC